This is a long non-coding RNA of Columba livia (rock pigeon), 827 nucleotides long. RefSeq lists it as uncharacterized. The record is from RefSeq and is a predicted model, not a curated record. Lineage: Eukaryota; Metazoa; Chordata; Aves; Columbiformes; Columbidae. The transcript has 3 exons.
AGGUCACUUCAGCUUACUUUCAUCAUCUCCGAUACUGUUUGUGUACUGCAAAGGGAUCUGAGCAUGCAAGGCUAAGUAUAAAUCCGUACAGUUGGCUGUGUUGGUCUUGUAUGCAAUAAGAAACCAUUCAUGUUUGCUUGGAAAAGAAGCAGAGCAAGGUGUUAAUCUGGAGAUCUCUGCCUCUUUGGAAGUGAUAUGAUUGCUAAAGAUCACAUAGGCAGAUCUUCCAUCUUAGAACCAGAUCAUAGUGUCAUCACAAGCAAAGCCUGUGCAGUGUUGUUGGUUCCCUAAAGCCUUCUGGGAAUUCGACUUGGAACUGUUGUCACAUAGGAAUACAGGUGAUCCUCGUCUUUUAUACUCAUGGCAUGGUUGUAGCUUUUUAACUUUUAAUGUAAUUCUACAUUUUGUUACAGGAAGAGUGAAAGUGUAUUGUAGACUCCUUGAGACUGAUUUUUUUUUAGAUGGUGCUUGCUUCAAUAGUUUUCUCCUAUCUGGCAUCCUUACAUACUUAUUGUUCAACACCUUCUCUAGUGAUUGGCAACUUGUCUUCCUUCUAUGAAUGAAGAGCUGUCUGGCAGUCACCAGGCUUUGGAAAGGGUUAAUUUCAAAGGAUUCCUGCUCUUCAGUUGGCCACUGUGUUCCCCAGACAUCAGUCUGAGAGGUGGGUGACUUCAACAGCAGAUGGUAUGAGACCUGUUCAUAUAGCAGAAAUGCUCAGAUUCUCCAUUUUAAACUCUAAGAUGUGUAAGCACUUUUCUGAAGGCUUGAUAAAUGUAAUUCUCUGUCCUUUUCUGAGUCUGUCUCUUCAGUAUUUAUAUUGUCUCUUA